AACGAACGCUGGCGGCAGGCCUAACACAUGCAAGUCGAGCGCCCAGCAAUGGGAGCGGCAGACGGGUGAGUAACACGUGGGAACCUUCCCUAUAGUACGGAAUAGCCCAGGGAAACUUGGAGUAAUACCGCAUACGCCCCGAGAGGGGAAAGAUUUAUCGCUAUAGGAUGGGCCCGCGUAGGAUUAGCUAGUUGGUGAGGUAAUGGCUCACCAAGGCGACGAUCCUUAGCUGGUCUGAGAGGACGACCAGCCACACUGGGACUGAGACACGGCCCAGACUCCUACGGGAGGCAGCAGUGGGGAAUAUUGGACAAUGGGCGCAAGCCUGAUCCAGCCAUGCCGUGUGAGUGAUGAAGGCCUUAAGGGUUGUAAAGGCUCUUUUGUCCGGGGACGAUAAUGACGGUACCCGGAGAAGUAAGUCCCGGCGUAACUUCGUGCCAGCA
This 443-nucleotide ribosomal RNA is filed under the name uncultured bacterium. RNAcentral's name for it is "bacterial SSU rRNA". It matches the Rfam family "Bacterial small subunit ribosomal RNA", at positions 29 to 513 of the family's 1533-position model. The record is from RNAcentral.